AGAGUUUGAUCCUGGCUCAGAUUGAACGCUGGCGGCAUGCCUUACACAUGCAAGUCGAACGGUAACAGGUCUUCGGAUGCUGACGAGUGGCGAACGGGUGAGUAAUACAUCGGAACGUGCCCAGUCGUGGGGGAUAACUACGCGAAAGCGUAGCUAAUACCGCAUACGAUCUAUGGAUGAAAGCGGGGGAUCGCAAGACCUCGCGCGAUUGGAGCGGCCGAUGGCAUAUUAGGUAGUUGGUGGGGUAAAGGCUCACCAAGCCGACGAUCUGUAGCUGGUCUGAGAGGACGACCACCCACACUGGGACUGAGACACGGCCCACACUCCUACGGGAGGCAGCAGUGGGGAAUAUUGCACAAUGGGCGCAAGCCUGAUGCAGCGACGCCGCGUGAGGGAUGACGGCCUUCGGGUUGUAAACCUCUUUCACCAGGGACGAAGCGUGAGUGACGGUACCUGGAGAAGAAGCACCGGCCAACUACGUGCCAGCAGCCGCGGUAAUACGUAGGGUGCGAGCGUUGUCCGGAAUUACUGGGCGUAAAGAGCUCGUAGGCGGUUUGUCGCGUCGUCUGUGAUAUUCUGCAACUCAAUUGCAGGCGUGCAGGCGAUACGGGCAGACUUGAGUACUACAGGGGGAGACUGGUAUUUCCUGGUGGUAGCGGUGAAAUGCACAGAUAUCAGAGACACCGGUGGCGAAGGCGGGUCUCUCUGGGUAGUACCUGACGCUGAGAGCGAAAGCGUGGGUAGCGACAUGAUCAAUCCCUGUAGUCACGCAGUAACGUAGUACUACGUGGUGGGUUCUCUUUCACAGGAUCCGUGCCGUAGCUACCAUAGUACCGCUGAGGAUCCGCCGCUAGCUAAACCCAUGAAUUGACGGCUGUCACGGACUGGAUAUCAUGCACGUACGCUUACU
This 910-nucleotide ribosomal RNA is filed under the name uncultured bacterium. RNAcentral describes it as "bacterial SSU rRNA". It matches the Rfam family "Bacterial small subunit ribosomal RNA", at positions 9 to 873 of the family's 1533-position model. The record is from RNAcentral.